CCCUUAGAUGUCCUGGGCCGCACGCGCGCUACACUGAGUGUCUGAGAUACGAGUCUGCCUGGUCCGGCAAGGUCUAGGUAAUCGCUAAAAGACACAUCAUGCUUGGGAUAGAUUAUUGCAAAUAUUAAUCUUGAACGAAGAAUUCCUAGUAAGCGCAAGUCAACAGCUUGCGUUGAUUACGUCCCUGCCCUUUGUACACACCGCCCGUCGCUACUACUGAUUGGAUGUUUAAGCGAGGUUCUCGAACUGCUAGCGACUUAGCUUCGGUGAGGUCGCAGUGUGGGAAGUGAACCUAGCUUUGGUGUCUAGAGGAAGUAAAAGUCGUAACA
This 329-nucleotide ribosomal RNA is filed under the name uncultured eukaryote. RNAcentral's name for it is "partial 18S ribosomal RNA". It matches the Rfam family "Eukaryotic small subunit ribosomal RNA", at positions 1470 to 1796 of the family's 1831-position model. The record is from RNAcentral.